CAUGGGAGAGUUUUAUAAAUUAGCAACCCUAGUGUUGGAAGGAAAUACGACCCACAGGAGUAUUUUCCGUCCUCAUAUCUAAACCAGAGAAUUUAACUUUCACAUUUUAUUUUUACACAA
This is a long non-coding RNA of Etheostoma spectabile (orangethroat darter), 120 nucleotides long. RefSeq lists it as uncharacterized. NCBI's taxonomy places the organism in Eukaryota, Metazoa, Chordata, Actinopteri, Perciformes, Percidae. The transcript has 3 exons. The record is from RefSeq and is a predicted model, not a curated record.